AUUGAACGCUGGCGGCAGGCUUAACACAUGCAAGUCGAGCGGGGGAAGGUAGCUUGCUACCGGACCUAGCGGCGGACGGGUGAGUAAUGCUUAGGAAUCUGCCUAUUAGUGGGGGACAACAUCUCGAAAGGGAUGCUAAUACCGCAUACGUCCUACGGGAGAAAGCAGGGGACCUUCGGACCUUGCGCUAAUAGAUGAGCCUAAGUCGGAUUAGCUAGUUGGUGGGGUAAAGGCCUACCAAGGCGACGAUCUGUAGCGGGUCUGAGAGGAUGAUCCGCCACACUGGGACUGAGACACGGCCCAGACUCCUACGGGAGGCAGCAGUGGGGAAUAUUGGACAAUGGGGGGAACCCUGAUCCAGCCAUGCCGCGUGUAUGAAGAAGGCCUUAUGGUUGUAAAGCACUUUAAGCGAGGAGGAGGCUACUCUAGUUAAUACCUAGGGAUAGUGGACGUUACUCGCAGAAUAAGCACCGGCUAACUCUGUGCCAGCCGCCGCGGUAA
This 501-nucleotide ribosomal RNA is filed under the name uncultured bacterium. RNAcentral's name for it is "partial 16S ribosomal RNA". It matches the Rfam family "Bacterial small subunit ribosomal RNA", at positions 30 to 523 of the family's 1533-position model. The record is from RNAcentral.